UGUAGUGGCGAAAAUAUUAUCGCCACUUUAAGUUAAUUAAUUAGAGGCAAUUUUUUUUAUCGCCACCAUAUGUAGCCAAAUAAUGACGACAAAAUAGUCAUUUAGUGGUGAAAGUAGUAUCGGCACUUUAUAUUUAAGCUGGAAUUUGAAUUUUGAUAUUAAUAUUCAAAAUUUGAGUCGGGGAAGAGAGAUUGAUAUUCCGCAAAUCGGCAAUCGUUUCAAA
Molecule: long non-coding RNA, 223 nt
Filed under: Ananas comosus (pineapple)
Lineage: Eukaryota; Viridiplantae; Streptophyta; Magnoliopsida; Poales; Bromeliaceae
Description: long non-coding RNA (ACOM_LNC017603)
Source: RNAcentral